Molecule: unclassified non-coding RNA, 253 nt
Filed under: uncultured Actinomycetes bacterium
Lineage: Bacteria; Bacillati; Actinomycetota; Actinomycetes
Description: uncultured actinobacterium contains 16S-23S intergenic spacer region
Rfam family: Bacterial small subunit ribosomal RNA
Source: RNAcentral
UACGUAGGGUGCGAGCGUUGUCCGGAAUUAUUGGGCGUAAAGAGCUCGUAGGCGGCGUGUCACGUCGGUUGUGAAAGCCCACGGCUUAACCGUGGGUCUGCAGUCGAUACGGGCAGGCUAGAGUGUGGUAGGGGAGAUCGGAAUUCCUGGUGUAGCGGUGAAAUGCGCAGAUAUCAGGAGGAACACCGGUGGCGAAGGCGGAUCUCUGGGCCAUUACUGACGCUGAGGAGCGAAAGCGUGGGGAGCGAACAGG